CAGCAGCCGCGGGAAUACGGAGGGUGCAAGCGUUAAUCGGAAUUACUGGGCGUAAAGCGUGCGUAGGCGGUUCGUUAAGUCUGUUGUGAAAGCCCCGGGCUCAACCUGGGAAUGGCAAUGGAUACUGGCGAGCUAGAGUGUGUCAGAGGAUGGUGGAAUUCCCGGUGUAGCGGUGAAAUGCGUAGAGAUCGGGAGGAACAUCAGUGGCGAAGGCGGCCAUCUGGGACAACACUGACGCUGAGGCACGAAAGCGUGGGGAGCAAACAGGAUUAGAUACCCGUGUAGUCCCUGUCUCUUAUAC
Molecule: ribosomal RNA, 301 nt
Filed under: uncultured bacterium
Lineage: Bacteria
Description: partial 16S ribosomal RNA
Rfam family: Bacterial small subunit ribosomal RNA
Source: RNAcentral